UACAGAGGGUGCGAGCGUUAAUCGGAAUUACUGGGCGUAAAGCGCACGUAGGUGGCGACGUAAGUCGGGUGUGAAAGCCCCGGGCUCAACCUGGGAAUUGCAUUCGAGACUGCAUUGCUGGAGUACGGAAGAGGAGGGCGGAAUUCCCAGUGUAGAGGUGAAAUUCGUAGAUAUUGGGAAGAACACCGAUGGCGAAGGCAGCCGUCUGGACCGACACUGACGCUGAGGCGCGAAAGCGUGGGGAGCAAACAGG
Molecule: ribosomal RNA, 253 nt
Filed under: uncultured bacterium
Lineage: Bacteria
Description: partial 16S ribosomal RNA
Rfam family: Bacterial small subunit ribosomal RNA
Source: RNAcentral